This is a long non-coding RNA of Papilio xuthus (Asian swallowtail), 1615 nucleotides long. RefSeq lists it as uncharacterized. NCBI's taxonomy places the organism in Eukaryota, Metazoa, Arthropoda, Insecta, Lepidoptera, Papilionidae. The record is from RefSeq and is a predicted model, not a curated record. The transcript has 3 exons.
AAUAAACAUUACUUUACUACGAGGGUAGUAUAUCCACGACAUAUACAUAUAUUGUCAUGAUUUCGACCAAAAACAAUAAUCAAAUUCAUUUUUAAGACUGUCUUCGACCUAUGGUUGACAAACAGUGUGAAUAAUAGCAUUCGGCGAUGUUAAUCUCGGUCAACCUUAUGUGUAUACAUAACUUCAAUAACAUAGGUACAGUCACCUCCAAUAAAGUGUCAGCGAUGGAGAAAUUGCAAAGAAUGCAAUGAAAAAAGAACUCGGCUUGUACGAUCGCUUGUACUCUCCAUAUUCCUUUAUGCGUCCAAAACGUGGACCCUACGAGAGAGUGAGAAAAAGAAGAUAGACCCGCUCGAGAUGUGGUGCUGGAGAAGAAUGCUGAAGAUACCUUGGACCACCAAUGUACUAAAAAGGCAGCGACUAGGUGGCGUCUGGUAAAGCAGAUCACUGAUACUUGACGACCAUGACCAAUCUGACAAAACUGUAACGACGAAGAAGAAGAACUUUCGCACUUGUCUACAGAGUAUAGCUGACCAUUAAAUUGGUUAGAUCAUUGGUGUCUUGGAGAUAUAAAAGAACCACGGCUGACCAUUAAAUUGGUUAGAUCAUUGAAGUGUUACAGAUAUAAAAGCACUACAGCUGACCAUUAAAUUGGUUAGAUGAUUCAUGUCUUGCAAACAUGAAAGCUGCAUAGCGGACCAUUAAAUUGGUUAGAUCAGUCAUGUCUUACAGACAUGAAAGGAGCACGGCUGACCAUUAAAUUGGUUAGAUCAUCUAAUCGUUAAAUCGAUAAGUUCAUUUACAGCCUGAAAAGUGGUCAAGUACAUAAAUUAAGAAGAUUGAAACCCUGAUCGAUAAAUUGAUAUUACGAGUGGUAAGAAGUUUGAAGCUAAAAUUUCUGUGAGGCAAACUGUUAACUAAAUUAAGUUACAGAUUAAUAAACGCAGCACUCGGCGAGCAAGUCUAAUGGUUGUGCCGAAAGUGAGUGGAAAGAGAUAUAUGUAUAACAUACGAAGGAGUACAGCUUUAUAAGUUGUUACUGUCAUCUUUAUAAUGUAAGUUCAUUUAAUCAACUUAAAUCUAAGCUAGUUGAAUACAUUUUAGAUUUUUGGAAAAAAGUAAAGUAAUUUUAAGUCAAAUCAAUGGCGACUAUAUUAUGUACAUUGUACGAUAUUGUUUACAAGUAAGUGACUAUUCCUUUGUCUUUUUGAGAAGUAAUUCUUUUAACCCUGUUAUAAGCACCUUACUACAAAAUACGUAGUACAAAAUGAUAUAAAAUGUGAUUGACUAUUAGUCACGUUUUGUUAUGAAUAUUUACAAUAUGUAUAACGCAAUUUCUAAUAUUAUAUUGCCAUUUACUAAAGUCAUCAUAAUUGGCUUUAUUAACGAAUUCGUGGCUAAUGCUGGAUUGGUGAAGUUUCCAGAGAUACUAUUAACUACGAGUAUAUGUAAGUUCAAAUCUCGUGAUGUACUGUGCACUAAACGAAUUUCGAUUCAAUAAUUGUGAAACAGAUAAGUAGUUUCCGCUUCCGGCGAUAGAUGACUCUGUAUUUAAAAUACAUCUGAAAUUGAUUUUAUUGCUCUAAUUUGGUAAAAAUAAGAGCGGAAACGUGUU